UUUGGAAUGCAUGUGGCCCAACUCUACUCUGAGAGUCUGGGAAGAAACCAGUGAGGUCAAUAUUGGCUCUACAGGUUGAAAGUCAAAGUCAAAAUGAAGAGCCACAGGCCUGGAAAGGUACAGGGACUUUAUCUGAUCCUCAGAAAGGUGUGACGGAUGCCCCCCGCAUCUGGUGCAAUGAUUCUCUGUCCGCACACCACCAGUGCGGGCCCAAAAGAUGUGGCCACCUGUGUCUGAUGGCUCCUGGUCUGAAAACAGGUCAGGAGUUGUGUGAAUCUUGGACUUGGACAGGAAGUUGAGUGUGAAACGCCGACAGACCAUGCUGUGUAUUCGAGAGACCCAGAGACGGACUGUUGUAAGCUAAGUAGCUCUGUACUGGUGCCCGGACUCAACCCCCCCCCCCCACCUUCCGGUGAGAGAAAACAGUGAAAACACCCUAAUAGUGUGCUGGCAUCAUCACGGUACAAAUGCAUCUAUCCAUCUGCCCAGCCAGCUUCUCACCGCUGUAGAACAGAUGUUGCACAUGCACACAGCCCCUGGCAAGAAACAGGAAGGAUCCAGCCGGGUGGGGGCUGGGGUUCAGGAGAGGCAAUAGCAAAGCAGUGAUAUACUUUCAGGCUACUGUUACCACUUGGGACCAAUGAAAACAGUGUGGGCUCAUCCUUGCCCACUUCUUUUUUAAUUAGGGAUUUAACUGGGUAUUGAACUCGACUUAAAAACGUUUUUAUGGUGGAGCAUCUCAAAAAUACGCAGAAGCAAAUAGAGGAGUGUAAUCAUCCCCACGAACCCAUCCCUCAGCCUGGACAAUCAUUAUUCCACGGCCGUCCGGCCCCACGUACACGGCUCUACCCGCUUCUGCUGUUUCUACAGACUGAAUGUUAACACAGAAUGAAAGUGUUUUCCACUAGUGAAACAAUAGGACACUGAGUCCUUGGACCAGCGCUCAGGCUCAUGCAUAGACCCAAGCGUCAGGAGAGAACAGAUUUGAGAAAGGAAGAAACGUCAUGUUGUUUUCAUGUUGCUCCGGUUCUGCUGUGUUUCAAAAAAAAGUCAGAGGAGGCUACCGGUCAGCAGACAAUUAGUGAGAGCACGAGGCACUGCCCUUCACUUUGUGUUGCCGGGGACACGAAGAUGAGAUGAGUGUGUUUCCUGAUCGCAGAGGUCUUUACAGUUUUCUGUGGGAGAUCGCACCCCUACUCUUGAUACAAAGUGGCCUAAAGGUCAUAGCUUAGAAAAUGUAGGAGGCAGACCACACCCUGAUGAUCCACACACCUUGCAAGAUGUCCUGUGGUUUCUGGUCACUCAAGCACCCCUGGUCUUUGGAUCGCCCUGGGGAGUAUACUUCAGGGAGGAACACACAGACUGUUGGUGCCAGGCGGUGCUUGGGCUUUGGCUGACAUCUGGUCAACCCCACAGUCAUAAAGCUGCACAGACCUGCAGUGUGGAAGAGACAGACCGCUCCAGUGAAAAGUCGGGUUUUCCAGCUCUAACUUCCAGGGGUUAUUCCAAGUGUCAGGGGUGUGAGAGGAGCGGAAGGCGUUCAAGAGAACUGACGAAGAGUGUUUGGGCUGGGAGUGGACUCUGCUCCCCUCCCGAGGCUGGCCCAGCCCAGCCUACCUCACCCCCAAGUCUUUGAAGUGCGCUACCUGGAUGGUGAGCUAAGCCACGCUUGGCAGGAGGGAGGGAGGUUGUGUGGUCUGGCAAAGAGCAGAGCGGAGGGGCAGAGGGACCAAGCCUGAAUCUGUAGCUGACUCACGGCAUCUCUCGUGCCAGGCCGUUUCACCAUUCAGUCCAGAUGGAAAAUGAGGAAAAGACCCAAAUCAGGAUCUCACUGAGAAAUCCAGAUGCCUUUCAGGAGAAUAAACAAGGCAGCCUGCUCUCUGCGGUCUCUGUUUCCCUGUUUCUGUGCGAGUGUGUAUGUGUCCGUUUCUGGAUCUUAGGGGUGUGUGUGUUAGCUUUGAUCAUUUCUCUGUCCCCCUUCCUCUUACUUCCUGUGGGGAUCCGCUUCAGGACUUGCUUUUGGUCUCAGCUUCAGUCACUGUCUUCAGGCACUUCUGGUACAGGAACAAAGAUCAGCAGCAAAAAAUCACUCCUUUCAAGUAAGUACUCUUCUAUGGCCUUGGCUUUCAUUUUUCUCUGCUACCCUUUGUUUCACACCCGAGAUCCUUAUAUAGGCCAGCCUUCUUCCACCUUUCUACCAUU
Molecule: long non-coding RNA, 2202 nt
Organism: Herpailurus yagouaroundi (jaguarundi)
Lineage: Eukaryota; Metazoa; Chordata; Mammalia; Carnivora; Felidae
Exons: 3
Source: RefSeq, a predicted model, not a curated record